AACUCUCCCAAGUCCUCAAGAGCUUCAAAAUAUCUCAUCCUUAAUUUGAACUAUUCACCAAAUAAUAUUACACCAAAGAAUAUACUACUAAUAUCUCUUUAUCACCAACUCUCCUAAGUCCUUAAGAGUUUCAAAAUAUCAUAACCUCCAAUCAAAUUAGUUCUCAAAUAUUAUUACACCAAAAAUAUACUACUACUAAGAUCUCUCCAUCACCAUACCAAACUCCAAAU
This 230-nucleotide long non-coding RNA is filed under the name Panax ginseng (ginseng). RNAcentral's name for it is "long non-coding RNA (PGIN_LNC005413)". The record is from RNAcentral. Lineage: Eukaryota; Viridiplantae; Streptophyta; Magnoliopsida; Apiales; Araliaceae.